This 484-nucleotide ribosomal RNA is filed under the name uncultured bacterium. Its description in RNAcentral is "partial 16S ribosomal RNA". It matches the Rfam family "Bacterial small subunit ribosomal RNA", at positions 30 to 507 of the family's 1533-position model. The record is from RNAcentral.
AUUGAACGCUGGCGGCAGGCCUAACACAUGCAAGUCGAGCGGAUGAAGGGAGCUUGCUCCCGGAUUCAGCGGCGGACGGGUGAGUAAUGCCUAGGAAUCGGCCUGGUAGUGGGGGAUAACGUCCGGAAACGGGCGCUAAUACCGCAUACGUCCUGAGGGAGAAAGUGGGGGAUCUUCGGACCUCACGCUAUCAGAUGAGCCUAGGUCGGAUUAGCUAGUUGGUGGGGUAAAGGCCUACCAAGGCGACGAUCCGUAACUGGUCUGAAGGGAUGAUCAGUCACACUGGAACUGGGAAACGGCCCAGCCUCCUACGGGAGGCGCAAGUGGGGAAUAUUGGACAAUGGGCGAAAGCCUGAUCCAGCCCUGCCGGGUGUGUGAAGAAGUUCUUCGGAUUGUAAAGCACUUUAAGUUGGGAGGAAGGGCAGUAAGUUAAUACCUUGCUGUUUUGACGUUACCAACAGAAUAAGCACCGGCUAACUUCGUG